RNAcentral lists this ribosomal RNA (305 nucleotides) under uncultured bacterium. RNAcentral describes it as "bacterial SSU rRNA". It matches the Rfam family "Bacterial small subunit ribosomal RNA", at positions 335 to 657 of the family's 1533-position model. The record is from RNAcentral.
UGCCUACGGGAGGCAGCAGUGGGGAAUAUUGCACAAUGGGGGAAACCCUGAUGCAGCAACGCCGCGUGAAGGAAGACGGUUUUCGGAUUGUAAACUUCUGUUCUUAGUGAAGAAGAAUGACGGUAGCUAAGGAGCAAGCCACGGCUAACUACGUGCCAGCAGCCGCGGUAAUACGUAGGUGGCAAGCGUUGUCCGGAAUUACUGGGUGUAAAGGGAGCGUAGGCGGGACGGCAAGUCAGAUGUGAAAACUGAGGGCUCAACCUUCAGACUGCAUUUGAAACUGCUGUUCUUGAGUGCAGUAGAGG